GCCAGGCGUGGUGGCACGUGCCUGUAAUCCCAGCUACUGGGGAGGCUGAGGCAGGAGAAUUGCUUGAACCCAGGAGAUGGAGGUUGCAGUGAGCUAAGAUCGUGCCACUGCACUCCAGCCUGGGCUACAGAGCGAGACUCUGUCUCUA
Molecule: non-coding RNA, 148 nt
Filed under: Pan paniscus (pygmy chimpanzee)
Lineage: Eukaryota; Metazoa; Chordata; Mammalia; Primates; Hominidae
Also listed under: 1 other name
Source: Rfam by way of RNAcentral